This is a long non-coding RNA of Gasterosteus aculeatus aculeatus (three-spined stickleback), 1065 nucleotides long. The record is from Ensembl. NCBI's taxonomy places the organism in Eukaryota, Metazoa, Chordata, Actinopteri, Perciformes, Gasterosteidae.
CUCAAUUACUAGAGCGCGUCCGAGGAGGCGCAUCCGAUCUCCUCUCCCUCCUCCUCCUGCUCCUACCCUCUUCCUCCUCCUCCUCCUCCUCCUCCUUUACUUCCUCCCCCGCCGGACCGGUCUGGAACGCCGUGACCGAAAAUGGUGCGCUGGUGUCGGUGAGGAUGGCCCCGGACGAGCCCCAUCUCGUCCUCACUCCAUGUUGGAAACGGACCGAGGAAGAGGAGGAGGACGAGGAGGACGAGAAGGAACGGUGACGUCAGACCCGAAGGACUGCAGAGUCACGUGCUUUUACCAAAUUAUAAUAAAGAUAAUUGAACAUUUUGUAAUUUGCAAAAAAAAUAGCUAUUAAAAAUACACCUUUUAAAGCUAUUUUAAUUCUAAAAUACGUGCUAUCAUUAAAUAUGUCGUUUUUAAAUGAUAGUAUGUAUAAUAUCAGUUGCAAUUAGAAGUAUUAUACAUGAGCAAUUGAAAACUGGAACAGGUACAAUGAGAGCAGCAUAGUGUUAAGUAUCCCUGUACCAGUAGUACCACUACUGAGUAAUGUAUUGUGUAUGUGAGUUUUCAAUAGCGGUAGUAAUAGAGGAAGGACUGUAGUAGUAUUAGGAGUAGUGGGCGUAGUAUCAGUACUGUAACAAAGUGCACAUGAUAGCAUCCUUCUUAAAUAUCACACAAACACUGUUAACAUGUGUUUUCAUUUGUAUAAUUUCCUGUGAGCAAAGAAGACCGCAACGUGAUUUUCAGUGACACCUGGCGGCAGGGUCGUGCUACAGCAGCUUCACUCCACAUCUGCUCCACAGCUGGUCUCUACAACAAUCUUCAGUGUUUGAUGUUUAUUUGGUGAAGAAAUAGUAGAAGUGACCCUCUGCAUGUGUUUUAUUUAAUCACAGUUUGGUGUAGAUGCUCAGCUUCCUGUCCAGUGUUUUAGAGUUUGAUUAAUAAAAUCUUCUGACCUUUGUAUGAUGUCCAGUCCAGGCAAAGCUACGUGUCAGAGUUGGACACAUGAGGUCCUCCGCUGUUCAGAACUCCCGCCGAUGGCUAAGUUCAUGUUCAUUUUAAAGUUUU